CUUAUGAAACGUGGAAAGCACAGUGAUCUCAGACUUAAACAAGGGAAUAGUCACUAUUCAUAUUAUGUUUUAGAACACAAUUAUUAAAGAGAGACCUGUGGAAACUUAUUCUGGAAGUAGUAAUUGAAAUUAAUUCCCACAGGUGACCGCACCCUGGCAACCACAAAUGGCAGUGCUCUGAGUUAAAAGGCAAUAUGACCUUUGGCCCAUAAGAGACAGGGAUAAUUGGGUGAACUGUCUCCACCCCCUUACCUGAGAUCCCUUCCAGACAGAGCAGGAGGGCCUGCUGGUUCCACCCCAAGAUCCUGAGCUGGAGUAGAGAGACGCAACUCAAUGCGGAAAUCAUGAAGCUUGUAGUUAUUUUCUAGAAGUAGCAUCUGUUGGCUUCUGAGGAAGCUAAAACCUCCUUUGCCUACUGUGGUUGGCAGAAUGAUGGCUCCUUAAAGGUGUCCAUCUCUUUAUCCCUGGGGUCUGUGGAUAUGUUACCUUACCUGGUAAAAGGGACUUUGCAGAUGUGAUUAAGUUAAGGAUUCUGAGAUGGGACCCUGGAUCAUCCAGGAGGGCCCAACGUAAUCACAAGCGUUCUGAUAAGUGAAAGAGAGAGGCGGGGGAAUCUGAGUCAGAGAGAGAUUUGAAGCUACGACAUCACUGGCUUUGAAGAUGGAGGAACGGGCCACAAGGCAGGGAGUGCAGGCAGCCUUUGGAAGCUGAAAAAGGAUGCGAAUCCACGUCUCUGGGGUCGAAAAGGUCACAAACAGAAAACCUGCUGCACUUCUGAGUCUUCACAGAUUUCAGUGAUUUGGUCCAAAUCCAGAAACCAUCUUGAGACAAUAAAAAGGCUGCUGAAUGGGAACCAAGCAGGACGGCUCAACUCUCACCGAGUUUUUGCCUCUCAAGGGAAACUGAGGCCUGCAAGGGAGCUGCUAUGCAUAGUGAUUAGGAUCUCGGAGCCUCGGUUUCUUCAUGUGCAACACGUGGAUGUCAAUCACUACCUCAUGGUGAUGUUAGAUGGAAUAAAUUCAACAAUGAUUGCAAAGCCCUCAGCAAAGUUGCUGGCAUAUAUUGAGGGCUAACACAGCAAUCAUUAACAGGAGAAAAGUCGUCUGUUACAGGAUGAACAAAAUCUUCUGUAAAGCAUGAGAUUGAGAAAUAGAAUAAUCUGUGGGUUGACUUGGACAGUAGUGGACUCUGGUGUCCUGACUGAAUGACUGAAUGAGGUGGCCUUUGAAAGGAGAGAAAAUGGACGUCUUGUCUUCUCUGAGCUUCUGCCAACACUGAAAAGGCUGAGGAACGGUUUCAUGGUGUAUCAGGGUUCCGUUUUUAAAACUGGUUGCACACAUCCCUCAUUUGAGGGUCCUGUUGGGUAGUUUAGGAGAGAAAAUGAAUGUCUAUGUUCUUGAAGGCCAAUUUGGGAGUGCAAAUGUUGGAUUUGGGAUCUCAUUGGAAAGUCUGUGUUAUUUAAAUUUCUAAAGCGAGCCCUCUCAUGUGACCUCAAGCUAAUGCGUGGGUCUGCUGGAAUAACAGCUUUGAGUAAUUUCUUCCAGCAGUGCCUACUAAGUAACCCGGGAUAAAAGUAUUGUUUUCCCAUGAAUGGUGGAAUUGUCAGGAAGGUAACAAAUUGCCCCAGACUUUUGUUGGUGCAACGGAAUUCAAGCUUCUUUCAAUUUUUUUGGACUUCCAAAAAAAAAUCUUUGAGAGACUACUGUGUGGCAAUACUGCGUGCUGGCCAGAGAGUCUAUAGAUGACAACACAGUGUCCCAGAAUCUUGCCUUAUUUUUCUUUUCCCUCCACCCCCACCCGCCAUCUCUCACCAGACAGAAUAGGUGAAGAGGUUGAGUUGUAGAUCUCAUUUCUCCUGUUUUGCUGCUUGUGAAGUCUGCCAACAGAAUCCACCUUGACAAAGUCAAGGACUGUGCGUUUAAUGUUGAACUGAGUGAAUAAAUUAUGCAUGAAAUUGUGCCGGAGUCUCUAGUGUGCAGAAUUGCUCCUUUUGAUAUGAAAGGUUAAUUCAGAAAGGAGUCCAAAAUAGCUGGAAAUUGUGGGGAUAAGUGGAUAGUAUUCACUGUUGUGAGCUGUUAUUACUAGAAAUUGCAUUCCCUCUCUGGCUUCCCCGGAGAUUUCUCUUUGCCAGUGAAUAUAAACUGUACUCAAUAGAAUAGCAUUUAGGAGUAACAAGAGUGUAUGUCCACACACAAUAAAAUAUUCUAAUGGCGUUUUAAAAAGAAGUUGUACUUUUUCAGGUAUAUCAUGUACCCCAAGGAAGAAUUUCUACUGCAUUUAGGUCAAGAACAAGGCAUAGCAAACAUAAUGAGUUUUGGACAUAUAUGUAUUGUAAGGGGCUGCCUGGGACUCCUGUUUCUGAGCCUGGGCUGGUCAUGCCACUGAUUAGUCAUGCAAGCCUGGUUUCUGAUAAAGCCCAAACCAUCCUUGCUUAAAGAAGGAACCACCCCAAAUUGUUUUUAUCACUACAGCUUACACAUCCAGCUUUAAUUUAAUCUUUGGUAAAUUUAUGAAGUUCUUCAACCUAUUUCACUUAAAUGUCCUUUUUACACACAUCCUUAUAUCAUUUUUAUGUUAGUUCAUUAUUUCCAGCAGAAAAACGUAGCUGUCUGGAAAGCUAAAUUUGACUGAAAAUACACAUACACAUAUUUUUGGAGCUUGUUAGAGACUCUUUUUUGUGUUUCCAUCACAAGGGAACGGAAUUGAGCCACCAGACUGUGGAAGUUGUUUAUUUUUGUCGCUCUUAUGUACAUUUUCAGAAACCAUCUACUUCUUAAUCUACACCAGGGACUAGUAGUUUUUUUCUCUAAUUAUAAAGUGGUCUCAUUUCUGACCUGGCGUAGUUUUUAAUUUUAAUUCCUGGCUUGUGUUUAUAAACUGUUAGACUACAUUAUCCUGUUGGGAACGUUGAGAGAAAGGCUUCAGUCUUUUGUGUUGGUUUUAACAAUUAGAUAUUCAUUCAGUGUCUUAAAAUGUAUUUCGGAGCAACCAAAGAUGCACUUUUGAUGUCGUUUUUUUUCCUUCUGUGUUUCACUUAUGUAUCUAUUUCACAUUAGUGAUAAAGCUUGUAAAACUCUGGAUGGGUGACGGUGAAUAGUUGUAGUAGUAUUAUAAAACCUAACAGGAGUCAACAAAAUUGAUACAAUUACUUUUUUUAAUGUAUUUUUUUGUUUCAAAUGUUUAUGUGGAAAAAGAUAUAGAAAUCUUGGCGUAGGGAAGAUAUUCCUACAAAUUUUGGCAGAUGCUGGGUUAAAAUAAAGUAGUUGCUCAU
This is a long non-coding RNA of Equus caballus (horse), 3271 nucleotides long. The record is from Ensembl. NCBI's taxonomy places the organism in Eukaryota, Metazoa, Chordata, Mammalia, Perissodactyla, Equidae.